CAGAGAGUAGUUUAAUAAAAAUAUUAAUUUUGGAGAUUAAAGAUAGAAGUUUAAUUUUUUCUCUGA
Molecule: transfer RNA, 66 nt
Filed under: Paroster microsturtensis
Lineage: Eukaryota; Metazoa; Arthropoda; Insecta; Coleoptera; Dytiscidae
Description: tRNA-Pro
Source: RNAcentral